RNAcentral lists this transfer RNA (75 nucleotides) under Candidatus Korarchaeum cryptofilum OPF8. RNAcentral describes it as "tRNA-Met (CAT) (tRNA-Met-CAT-1-1)". It matches the Rfam family "tRNA". Rfam says of the family: Transfer RNA (tRNA) molecules are approximately 80 nucleotides in length. Their secondary structure includes four short double-helical elements and three loops (D, anti-codon, and T loops). Lineage: Archaea; Thermoproteati; Thermoproteota; Candidatus Korarchaeia; Candidatus Korarchaeales; Candidatus Korarchaeaceae. The record is from RNAcentral. RNAcentral also lists the same sequence under 2 other names.
GCCGGGGUAGCUCAGCCUGGUUUGAGCGCCGGACUCAUAAUCCGGAGGUCCCGGGUUCAAAUCCCGGCCCCGGCA